GACGAACGCUGGCGGCGUGCUCAACACAUGCAAGUCGAACGAGACGAUCGAAAGCUUGCUUUCAAAAGUCGAGUGGCAAACGGGUGAGUAACGCGUAGACAACCUGCCUUUGAGAUGGGGACAACAGUUCGAAAGGACUGCUAAUACCGAAUGUUGUAUAUUUUCCACAUGGAAGAUAUAUUAAAGAUGGCCUCUAUUUAUAAGCUAUCGCUCAAAGAUGGGUCUGCGUCUGAUUAGCUGGUUGGUGGGGUAACGGCCUACCAAGGCGACGAUCAGUAGCCGGUCUGAGAGGAUGAACGGCCACAUUGGGACUGAGACACGGCCCAGACUCCUACGGGAGGCAGCAGUGGGGAAUCUUCCACAAUGGACGAAAGUCUGAUGGAGCAACGCCGCGUGAGUGAAGAAGGGUUUCGGCUCGUAAAGCUCUGUUGUCGGGGACGAAUGUGCAGUAUUUGAAUAAAGUAGUGUAAUGACAGUACCUGACGAGGAAGCCACGGCUAACUACGUGCCAGCCGCCGCGGUAA
This 524-nucleotide ribosomal RNA is filed under the name uncultured bacterium. Its description in RNAcentral is "partial 16S ribosomal RNA". It matches the Rfam family "Bacterial small subunit ribosomal RNA", at positions 28 to 523 of the family's 1533-position model. The record is from RNAcentral.